This is a long non-coding RNA of Dicentrarchus labrax (European seabass), 547 nucleotides long. RefSeq lists it as uncharacterized. The record is from RefSeq and is a predicted model, not a curated record. The transcript has 4 exons. Lineage: Eukaryota; Metazoa; Chordata; Actinopteri; Moronidae.
UUUGAACGUACCGAGGUCUCCGGUGAACCGAAGAGCGGAGAGAGACAGACAGAGAGAGUCAGACCCGCCCGCGGACAACCUCCCAGAUGCAGAAGCUUUAUAGGAGCCUUCACGGUCUACCCUCUGAGAGUAACAAGAACAAAACUGUCAGUAGUGCAAGUAGAAAAGAGGACAGUCAAUGAGUUUGAAGAGAAGGGGCAGCCUUUGUCUCAAGAGGAAGGACACGAGUUGGGAAAUAAACAACAGCUGGAUGAAGACCUGUGAGGUGUCACAUAAAGAACCUGGUCACUGCUUCUUCACAAGAGAAUGAGGACGUGCCAGUAUGGAGGACUUCUUGGAGUUGGAAGAAUAGGAACGUGAACAUGAUAUACUGCAGAAACGCUUGGUCUUUGAGAAGAAGGUGCUGGUAGUGCCUGUGGUGCCGCACAUCUCACACACCACUGUAAAGUGACCUUCCCACAAUAACAACUACUCACACUUACUGCACGCUCUCUUGGUUCAGCUGUAAUGCCCCGCCGUUGGAUAGCAGGCAGGCACUUACUACAAC